RNAcentral lists this signal recognition particle RNA (299 nucleotides) under Aotus nancymaae (Ma's night monkey). Its description in RNAcentral is "Metazoan signal recognition particle RNA (ENSANAG00000007191.1)". It matches the Rfam family "Metazoan signal recognition particle RNA". From Rfam's summary of the family: The signal recognition particle (SRP) is a universally conserved ribonucleoprotein. It is involved in the co-translational targeting of proteins to membranes. The record is from RNAcentral. Lineage: Eukaryota; Metazoa; Chordata; Mammalia; Primates; Aotidae.
GCCAGGCACGGUGGCGCGUGCCUGUGGUCUCAGCUACUCGGGAGGCUGAGGUAGGAGGAUCACUUGAGCCCAGGAGUUCUAGGCUGUAGUGCGCUAUGAGGAUCGGGUGUCCACACUAAGUUCGGCAUCAAUAUGGUGACCUUCCGGGAGCAGGGGACCACCAGAUUGCCUAAGGAGGGGUGAACUGGCCCAGGUCGGAAACAGAGCAGGUCAAAACUCCCAUGCUGAUCAGUAUUGGGAUCGUGCCUGUGAAUGGCCACUGCACUCCAGCCUGGGCAAUAUAGUGAGACCCCGUCUCU